Molecule: ribosomal RNA, 740 nt
Filed under: uncultured bacterium
Lineage: Bacteria
Description: bacterial SSU rRNA
Rfam family: Bacterial small subunit ribosomal RNA
Source: RNAcentral
ACGCUAGCGGGAGGCCUAACACAUGCAAGCCGAGCGGUGGAGAUUCUUCGGAAUCUUGAGAGCGGCGUACGGGUGCGGAACACGUGUGCAACCUGCCUUUAUCAGGGAGAUAGCCUUUCGAAAGGAAGAUUAAUAUCCCAUAAUAUUUUGAGUGGCAUCACUUAAAAUUGAAAGCUCCGGCGGAUAGAGAUGGGCACGCGCAAGAUUAGAUAGUUGGCGGGGUAACGGCCCACCAAGUCAAUGAUCUUUAGGGGGCCUGAGAGGGUGAUCCCCCACACUGGUACUGAGACACGGACCAGACUCCUACGGGAGGCAGCAGUGAGGAAUAUUGGACAAUGGGUGAGAGCCUGAUCCAGCCAUCCCGCGUGAAGGACGACGGCCCUAUGGGUUGUAAACUUCUUUUGUAUAGGGAUAAACCUACCCUCGUGAGGGUAGCUGAAGGUACUAUACGAAUAAGCACCGGCUAACUACGUGCCAGCAGCCGCGGUAAUACGUAGGGUGCAAGCGUUGUCCGGAAUUACUGGGCGUAAAGAGUUCGUAGGCGGUUUGUCGCGUCGUUUGUGAAAACCAGCAGCUCAACUGCUGGCUUGCAGGCGAUACGGGCAGACUUGAGUACUGCAGGGGAGACUGGAAUUCCUGGUGUAGCGGUGAAAUGCGCAGAUAUCAGGAGGAACACCGGUGGCGAAGGCGGGUCUCUGGGCAGUAACUGACGCUGAGGAACGAAAGCGUGGGUAGCGAAC